GAUGCCAGGGUCAAAAGGUCAAAAAGCCGUUCAUGCUUGCAUGAUAAGGCUUUUGAACUUGGGACCCGCCAAACAUGAAAAAGCAGCGAUUUACGCAGUAAAUCAGCGGAUUUUGAAUGUUUGUAGAAUUGCGGGAGCUGCUUUGCAGCGGAGCAAUUCGUAGGCAUC
RNAcentral lists this small RNA (168 nucleotides) under pig gut metagenome. RNAcentral describes it as "Clostridiales-1 RNA". It matches the Rfam family "Clostridiales-1 RNA". The record is from RNAcentral.